UAACUAACGGGGACAUGGCGUAGUUGGGAACGCGUUCGACUGAAGCUGUAACUUCAUCUGCCCAUUGGGUUUUCGAAAGAUCGCCGGUUCGAUCCCGGCUGGCCCCAU
This 108-nucleotide transfer RNA is filed under the name Penicillium salamii. RNAcentral's name for it is "tRNA-Phe". It matches the Rfam family "tRNA". Rfam says of the family: Transfer RNA (tRNA) molecules are approximately 80 nucleotides in length. Their secondary structure includes four short double-helical elements and three loops (D, anti-codon, and T loops). The record is from RNAcentral. Lineage: Eukaryota; Fungi; Ascomycota; Eurotiomycetes; Eurotiales; Aspergillaceae.